Long non-coding RNA from Silurus meridionalis, 769 nucleotides. RefSeq lists it as uncharacterized. The transcript has 3 exons. Lineage: Eukaryota; Metazoa; Chordata; Actinopteri; Siluriformes; Siluridae. The record is from RefSeq and is a predicted model, not a curated record.
GGGUGGUAUGGAGACGGAUGAUCAGCUGUGGCGCCCCUAAUGGGAGCAGCCGAAAGAAGAAGAAGAAGAAGAAGAUUAUUACUAUUAUUGUGUAGUACUGAUUAUAAGAUUGUGUAGUUUUGAUGAUGAGGGUGUGUAGUACUGAUUAUAAGAUUGUGUAGUGUUGACGAUGAGGGUGUGUAGUACUGAUUAUAAGAUUGUGUAGUUUUGAUGAUGAGGGUGUGUAGUACUGAUUAUAAGAUUGUGUAGUGUUGACGAUGAGGGUGUGUAGUACUGAUUAUAAGAUUGUGUAGUUUUGAUGAUGAGGUUGUGUAGUGUUGAAGAUGAGGUUGUGUAGUACUGAUUAUAAGAUUGUGUAGUGUUGACGAUGAGGGUGUGUAGUAUUGAUUAUAAGAUUGUGUAGUGUUGAUGAUGAGGGUGUGUAGUACUGAUUAUAAGAUUGUGUAGUUUUGAUGAUGAGGUUGUGUAGUGUUGAGGAUGAGGGUGUGUAGUACUGAUUAUAAGAUUGUGUAGUGUUGACGAUGAGGGUGUGUAGUAUUGAUUAUAAGAUUGUGUAGUGUUGAUGAUGAGGUUGUGUAGUACCGAUGAUAAGGUUGUGUAGUAGUGUUGUGAUUGUGUAGUUCUGAUGCGGAAGCUGUUGUGGUAGUGAUGAGUGAAUUUGAGUUUUACCACUAGAUGGCCCACAAUCAGCAGGGGGUUGUUUUCCCUCAGUCAGAUUUACAGCUGUUUUCAUCAUCAUUCUGUACUGGGUUACAAACUUAUGUGGGGA